GUCGAGCGAACGGACGAGAAGCUUGCUUCUCUGAUGUUAGCGGCGGACGGGUGAGUAACACGUGGAUAACCUACCUAUAAGACUGGGAUAACUUCGGGAAACCGGAGCUAAUACCGGAUAAUAUUUUGAACCGCAUGGUUCAAAAGUGAAAGACGGUCUUGCUGUCACUUAUAGAUGGAUCCGCGCUGCAUUAGCUAGUUGGUAAGGUAACGGCUUACCAAGGCAACGAUGCAUAGCCGACCUGAGAGGGUGAUCGGCCACACUGGAACUGAGACACGGUCCAGACUCCUACGGGAGGCAGCAGUAGGGAAUCUUCCGCAAUGGGCGAAAGCCUGACGGAGCAACGCCGCGUGAGUGAUGAAGGUCUUCGGAUCGUAAAACUCUGUUAUUAGGGAAGAACAUAUGUGUAAGUAACUGUGCACAUCUUGACGGUACCUAAUCAGAAAGCCACGGCUAACUACGUGCCAGCAGCCGCGGUAAUACGUAGGUGGCAAGCGUUAUCCGGAAUUAUUGGGCGUAAAGCGCGCGUAGGCGGUUUUUUAAGUCUGAUGUGAAAGCCCACGGCUCAACCGUGGAGGGUCAUUGGAAACUGGAAAACUUGAGUGCAGAAGAGGAAAGUGGAAUUCCAUGUGUAGCGGUGAAAUGCGCAGAGAUAUGGAGGAACACCAGUGGCGAAGGCGACUUUCUGGUCUGUAACUGACGCUGAUGUGCGAAAGCGUGGGGAUCAAACAGGAUUAGAUACCCUGGUAGUCCACGCCGUAAACGAUGAGUGCUAAGUGUUAGGGGGUUUCCGCCCCUUAGUGCUGCAGCUAACGCAUUAAGCACUCCGCCUGGGGAGUACGACCGCAAGGUUGAAACUCAAAGGAAUUGACGGGGACCCGCACAAGCGGUGGAGCAUGUGGUUUAAUUCGAAGCAACGCGAAGAACCUUACCAAAUCUUGACAUCCUUUGACAACUCUAGAGAUAGAGCCUUCCCCUUCGGGGGACAAAGUGACAGGUGGUGCAUGGUUGUCGUCAGCUCGUGUCGUGAGAUGUUGGGUUAAGUCCCGCAACGAGCGCAACCCUUAAGCUUAGUUGCCAUCAUUAAGUUGGGCACUCUAAGUUGACUGCCGGUGACAAACCGGAGGAAGGUGGGGAUGACGUCAAAUCAUCAUGCCCCUUAUGAUUUGGGCUACACACGUGCUACAAUGGACAAUACAAAGGGCAGCGAAACCGCGAGGUCAAGCAAAUCCCAUAAAGUUGUUCUCAGUUCGGAUUGUAGUCUGCAACUCGACUACAUGAAGCUGGAAUCGCUAGUAAUCGUAGAUCAGCAUGCUACGGUGAAUACGUUCCCGGGUCUUGUACACACCGCCCGUCACACCACGAGAGUUUGUAACACCCGAAGCCGGUGGAGUAACC
RNAcentral lists this ribosomal RNA (1398 nucleotides) under Staphylococcus aureus. RNAcentral's name for it is "bacterial SSU rRNA". It matches the Rfam family "Bacterial small subunit ribosomal RNA". Lineage: Bacteria; Bacillati; Bacillota; Bacilli; Caryophanales; Staphylococcaceae. The record is from RNAcentral.